GUAGGUGAACCUGCGGAAGGAUCAUUAACAAAGUUGGGGAAUCUCUUACAGAGGCUCCCCCUUUCUUAAAAAAACCCCAAAUAUUUUAAACGUGAACAGAAAAAGAAAAGUGGUGCUUUGUUUGUUAAUUUAACAAAUAUCCCCCCCUUUUCUUUUUUCCCCCUCUACCCUAUUUUUUUUUAAAUAAACCCCCAAAAAAAUUUACAGUCUUUUAACUUGGACUGUUCCUUUUUUUAUAUUUUUAUUUUAUAUAACUAAAAAGCUUUUUUCUUUUUUGAAAAGGAGAAAAUACUACGAAAUGCUGAACAACUCUUAACAACGGAUAUCUUGGUUCUC
This 336-nucleotide unclassified non-coding RNA is filed under the name rhizosphere metagenome. Its description in RNAcentral is "partial ribosomal RNA internal transcribed spacer region". The record is from RNAcentral.